RNAcentral lists this ribosomal RNA (273 nucleotides) under uncultured bacterium. RNAcentral describes it as "partial 16S ribosomal RNA". It matches the Rfam family "Bacterial small subunit ribosomal RNA", at positions 523 to 796 of the family's 1533-position model. The record is from RNAcentral.
AUACGUAUGUCGCAAGCGUUAUCCGGAAUUAUUGGGCGUAAAGCGAGUCUAGGCGGCUUGUUAAGUCAGAUAUUAAAAUGCGGGGCUCAACUCCGUAUUGCGUUUGAAACUGGCAGGCUAGAGUACUGGAGAGGUGGGCGGAACUACAAGUGUAGAGGUGAAAUUCGUAGAUAUUUGUAGGAAUGCCGAUAGUGAAGACAGCUCACUGGACAGAUACUGACGCUAAAGCUCGAAAGCGUGGGGAGCGAACAGGAUUAGAUACCCUAGUAGUCC